Molecule: long non-coding RNA, 493 nt
Organism: Bombus pyrosoma
Lineage: Eukaryota; Metazoa; Arthropoda; Insecta; Hymenoptera; Apidae
Exons: 2
Source: RefSeq, a predicted model, not a curated record
UUACGGGCACCGAUCGCAAAUGGAGACGUAGAUGAGGAAAUAUAAUUGAUACGAGCGUAAUGAAACACGAAGUCGGUUUUAGUCAUUAAUUCGUACGCUCAUUCGUCUUGUUGCAUUCUAAUUGCGUGUACGAUGCUGCGAAACAAUCAUAGAUAACUGAACUGAUUCUCUUCCAUACAGUGACGAAUAUUCGUCACAAUUUCAUCGCUAUACUAUACUCUUCACGAUCAUAGGAGUACAAAAUCUGUAAGGUUCUGUAAGGUAUCACAUCACCAAAAUCCUCAACUCUAUCCUCAACUACUACCCAAUUAUAGAGAAAGGAAGAAUUUCUUAAACAGCCAAUUUGUGGCAAAUUCACCUGAACUUUUAGUACUCGUUACAUUCAUUACUAAAGGUUGUAUAUUACCGAGUAUAUUAUUGGCUUUCCUAGCAACAUAAUAUAUUAUUUUACUGCUUUUUUCUAUUGAACCAAGAAACGAAAUGUUCACAACUA